GAUGAACGCUGGCGGCGUGCCUAAUACAUGCAAGUCGAGCGAACAGACGAGGAGCUUGCUCCUCUGACGUUAGCGGCGGACGGGUGAGUAACACGUGGAUAACCUACCUAUAAGACUGGGAUAACUUCGGGAAACCGGAGCUAAUACCGGAUAACAUGUUGAACCGCAUGGUUCAACAGUGAAAGACGGUCUUGCUGUCGCUUAUAGAUGGAUCCGCGCCGCAUUAGCUAGUUGGUAAGGUAACGGCUUACCAAGGCAACGAUGCGUAGCCGACCUGAGAGGGUGAUCGGCCACACUGGAACUGAGACACGGUCCAGACUCCUACGGGAGGCAGCAGUAGGGAAUCUUCCGCAAUGGGCGAAAGCCUGACGGAGCAACGCCGCGUGAGUGAAGAAGGUCUUCGGAUCGUAAAACUCUGUUAUUAGGGAAGAACAAAUGUGUAAGUAACUAUGCACGUCUUGAUGGUACCUAAUCAGAAAGCCACGGCUAACUACGUG
This 497-nucleotide ribosomal RNA is filed under the name uncultured bacterium. RNAcentral describes it as "partial 16S ribosomal RNA". It matches the Rfam family "Bacterial small subunit ribosomal RNA", at positions 28 to 507 of the family's 1533-position model. The record is from RNAcentral.